RNAcentral lists this ribosomal RNA (466 nucleotides) under uncultured bacterium. Its description in RNAcentral is "bacterial SSU rRNA". It matches the Rfam family "Bacterial small subunit ribosomal RNA", at positions 328 to 792 of the family's 1533-position model. The record is from RNAcentral.
GCGCCAGACUCCUACGGGAGGCAGCAGUGAGGAAUAUUGGUCAAUGGCCGGAAGGCUGAACCAGCCAAGCCGCGUGAAGGACGAAGGUGCCAAGCAUUGUAAACUUCUUUUGUCAAGGGACAAAAUCAGGCUCGAGAGCCUGACCGAGGGUACUUGAAGAAAAAGCAUCGGCUAACUCCGUGCCAGCAGCCGCGGUAAUACGGAGGAUGCGAGCGUUAUCCGGAUUUAUUGGGUUUAAAGGGUGCGUAGGGGGGCUGUUAAGUCGGGGGAAAAAGCCGGGGGCCCACCCCGGGCGAGCCGUUGAAACUGGCUGUCUUGAGAUGUCGAGAGGUAUGCGGAAUGCGCAGUGUAGCGGUGAAAUGCAUAGAUAUCACGCAGAACUCCGAUUGCGAAGGCAGCAUACCGGCGCUCAACUGACGCUCAUGCACGAAAGCGUGGGUAUCGAACAGGAUUAGAUACCCCGGUA